RNAcentral lists this long non-coding RNA (1178 nucleotides) under Fragaria vesca (wild strawberry). Its description in RNAcentral is "long non-coding RNA (FVES_LNC005215)". The record is from RNAcentral. Lineage: Eukaryota; Viridiplantae; Streptophyta; Magnoliopsida; Rosales; Rosaceae.
AAACAAACAAAAAAACUCAACUUGUUAUAGGAUAUAUUCUGUAUCUUUCUAGAUAUUCUUUAUGUGUGUCUUGGCCUUAUGUCAAUAGGAUAUGUAGUUAGACUAGAUCUAUGUAUUCAUAUCCUUACCAUAUUAGUAUUGUGUAAUUCCCUAUAUAAAGGACUAAGAUGAUGAUUCUUUUACUAUCUCUUAUUCUCUAUAGUUUAUAUUUCAUCACAACUCAUUUUUGCACAUAUUUUUUUUCUAGGGCUUGUUCAUGAUAUGCAUUUUUUUUUUUAAGAAUUAGAUCUGAAAUGCUGAAAUACUAUGUGUGUGUAUGUGGUUCUUGAUCGAUCUGGUUCUUCCUUUCCUAUAUUUAUAAUGGUAGCAACAAAAAGUAGAUCGAUGAUCAUAAUGGUUAAAUUAAAGCAUGAAAGUCGAUUAUUGACUCGAUCCCUAAAAAAAACAUUAAUGAAAGUAAGUCUGACUUAAGUACCAUAUAACUUCUAGUUCUGGUAAUUCAUAUUCUUUGGAGAUGUCCUUUCAAUUUGAUUAGUUUUAAGUAUAUAUUUAACAAUUGUAGAAUGCUGCAACUAAUAUAUAUACUUCCGAUCCCAAGCACUAUUAUUGUUUGCUUGUAUAUUUUCCUAACUCUAUCUCUUUCCUUCAUCCCAAAUUUCUGUUAUUCAUGAAUUCUUUUGACAAAUUUAAAGGGAGCAUCAAGAUCUUUACCCUAUAUGUUAACACUUGCUGAUGAACUAACCCUAGACAAGAAAGAAUCGUUUGCAAAUAAGGCAAGAUUUUUUUUUUUUAUAUUUGUAUUUUAUAAAUCAAGGGUAAAACUGGAUUUCUAAAGUUACAAAAAUGUUAGGAGGUUCAAGUAGCAGUUUUAUGUACGAAUAGAAGCUCCCAUACUUGGACUUUAUAUCUUUUUUUGGGUUUUAAUUUGUUAACGACAUUAGCAUAUAUACAUGAUAGUGCCACCUAAUUAAAUGGCUAGAUCAAAUGCUAUAUAUAAAUUGCUCAAUUCACUUGCGUCUUGGUGCGUAGUGCGUAACAAUUCAAAUAUGUAUAGGUAUGUAGGAGUAGGUCGACACGCUAAAUACUCUAAAGUCUAAACAAUUUGCUAAGAGAAUAGUCAAGUACUCGGUAGUACGUAUAUACGAGAGAGAGAGAGAGAGAGAGAGAGAGAGAGAGAG